RNAcentral lists this ribosomal RNA (286 nucleotides) under uncultured bacterium. RNAcentral's name for it is "partial 16S ribosomal RNA". It matches the Rfam family "Bacterial small subunit ribosomal RNA", at positions 329 to 632 of the family's 1533-position model. The record is from RNAcentral.
UUUAAGCUUCCUACGGGAGGCUGCAGUGGGGAAUAUUGGACAAUGGGCGCAAGCCUGAUCCAGCCAUGCCGCGUGAGUGACGAAGGUCUUCGGAUUGUAAAGCUCUUUUGCCAGGGACGAUAAUGACGGUACCUGGAGAAUAAGCCCCGGCUAACUUCGUGCCAGCAGCCGCGGUAAUACGAAGGGGGCUAGCGUUGUUCGGAAUUACUGGGCGUAAAGCGCACGUAGGCGGAUUUGUAAGUUAGGGGUGAAAUCCCGGGGCUCAACCUCGGAACUGCCUUUGAUA